RNAcentral lists this long non-coding RNA (208 nucleotides) under Phoenix dactylifera (date palm). Its description in RNAcentral is "long non-coding RNA (PDAC_LNC017255)". The record is from RNAcentral. Lineage: Eukaryota; Viridiplantae; Streptophyta; Magnoliopsida; Arecales; Arecaceae.
UGACAGGGCAAUCACUAUAACAUGGUUAGUCCAUACCACCACAUCCAUAAAUUCAAUUAUGCAGGUAUAAGUUAUACACAUACAUGCAUCCAUCACACUACCAACCACAAGCCAACACGAUCAAAAUAUAAAUAAAUAUAAAACUAUUUUGCUUUGUCUGGAUCAUAGCAUAUCAAACAUAUAUAGUGCAAAAAUAUGUAUAUCAUGU